GAGAUAUUAGUUAAACCAUAACAUUGCCUUGUCAAGGCAAAAUUACAGGUUAAACCCCUGUAUAUCUUA
Molecule: transfer RNA, 69 nt
Filed under: Polypterus ornatipinnis (ornate bichir)
Lineage: Eukaryota; Metazoa; Chordata; Cladistia; Polypteriformes; Polypteridae
Description: tRNA-Asp
Rfam family: tRNA
About the family: Transfer RNA (tRNA) molecules are approximately 80 nucleotides in length. Their secondary structure includes four short double-helical elements and three loops (D, anti-codon, and T loops). Further hydrogen bonds mediate the characteristic L-shaped molecular structure. tRNAs have two regions of fundamental functional importance: the anti-codon, which is responsible for specific mRNA codon recognition, and the 3' end, to which the tRNAs corresponding amino acid is attached (by aminoacyl-tRNA synthetases). tRNAs cope with the degeneracy of the genetic code in two manners: having more than one tRNA (with a specific anti-codon) for a particular amino acid; and 'wobble' base-pairing, i.e. permitting non-standard base-pairing at the 3rd anti-codon position.
Source: RNAcentral